UUGGAACAAUGUAGGCAAGGAAAGUCGGCAAAAUGGAUCCGUAACUUCGUGAAAAGAAAUAUGCUCGGAGUGUUUGGCAAGGGGGUCGUAGUACCAAACCCACUGGCUGACGAUGAACUGCAUGAGCUGAUCCCGUGGAAAUAGUGGGUCGCCGUGUGCCGGCCGGGGGACGGACUGGGAAACGGUUCCUUCGGGGGCCUUUCCCGGGAGUCAAACAACCAACUCAUAACUGUUACAAACAAGGGGAAUUUGACUAUUUAUUUAAAACCAAAGCACUGUGAUGGUCCCAACGGAUGUUUACACAAUGUGAUUUUUGUCUAGUGCAAUGAAUGUCCAAGUCAAGAAAUUCAACCAUGCGGGGGUAAACGGUCGGAGUAACUAUGACUCUUUUUAAGGUAGCCAAAAUGCCUCUUCAUCUAAUUAGUGAUUCGUAUGAAUGUAUUAAUAAGAUUCCCACUGUCUCUGUCUAAUAUACAGCGAAACCACAGCCAAGGGAACAUGAUUGGCAGAAUCAGCGGGGAAAAAGACCCUUUUGAGCUUGAAUCUAGUCCGACUUUAUGAAAUGACUUGAGAGGUGUAGUAUAAGUGGGAGUCGAAAGGCGAAAGUGAAAUAUCACUACUUUUAACGUUAUUUUACUUAUUCCGUGAAUCGGAAGAGGGGGACUACCCUCUUUUUGGACCCAAGACUCGAUUUGCGGAUCGAUCUGGGGGAAGACACUGUCAAGUGGGGAGUUUGGCUGGGGUGGCACAUCUGUUAUAAGAUAACGCAGGUGUCCUAAGAUGAGCUCAAUGAAAAUAGAAAAAUCGUGUGGAUCAGAAGGACAAAAGCUCGUUUGAUUCUGAUUUCCAGUACGAAUACGAACCGUGAAUGCGUGGCCUAACGAUCUUUUAGAACUUCAGAGUUCUAAGCUGGAGGUGUCAGAGAAGUUACCACAAGGAUAACUAGCUUGUGGCAGCCAAGCUAUAUAGCAAAAUUUCUUUUUGAUCCUUCGAUGUUGGCUCUUCCUAUCAUUGUGAAGCAAAAUUCACCAAGUGUUGGAUUGUUCACCCACAAAUAGGGAACGUGAGCUGGGUUUAGACCAUCGUGAGAGAGGUUAGUUUACCCUACUGAUGACAGUGUCGCAAUAGUAAUUAAAACUAGUAAGAGAGGAACCGUUUUGCGUAGGCCUCGGCCAGGCAUCAUCAGCGAUGGCCUACUCACAUCGAUCAACCGAGGUCGCACGUGGCCUGCCAAAAUAAACUGUGUCCUGCAGACACCGAUCUGCCGACGU
This is a non-coding RNA of Solanum tuberosum (potato), 1271 nucleotides long. The record is from Rfam. Lineage: Eukaryota; Viridiplantae; Streptophyta; Magnoliopsida; Solanales; Solanaceae.